UUGGACCCAAGGCGCACAAGGCCCAAUCCGGAAUUGAAGGGGAAAAGAAAAAUUAGAGCAACUGCAAAAAUCACGUGUAACACACUUUCCACGUUUUCCACAUGCUCUCAGAUUCAAACAAACUUCUUCUCCCUCCUCUCUCCCUUCACCACACUAGAGCUCACCAACAGAGGCGGUGGAGCAAUCAAUCACUAAAUCAUCUAUGCCAAAACACUCCAAUUCUCAUGCUCUAACAAAAUCCACAAUCAAAAUCUCCUGAAACCUCGUAAAAUUUCCAGAUCGAGAGAAAUCAUUCAAGAACCCUAGGCUAUUGCAACAAAAAUUAAAUGACGAAUAAGAGGAAUCAAAGACCCUGAUGUUAGGGCUUUGACUCCUUGGAUCUCACUCUACAUGAUCGUAAUAAGGAUGAAAGGAAUCAAUAAGAAAAAAAUACCUCUGAAGUGGAGAAUUGCUCCAACAAGUUGUUGAAUCGGAGAAGACGCUUGCAGCGAUAGAAAAUCACUUGAAUAAGGAUGUUGCCAUGGUCAUGAAUGUGUGAUGAAGGAUGUUACCAUGAUGAUGAUGAACCAAGGCUAAAAGUUCUUGGAUAGUGCAAAUUGACUCAUGGCAGGGAAAAGAAAUGCUUGUUGCCGCAGAUGAUUACUGAUGAUGAUGAUCUGAUAUUGCAGGUCCCUAUAUUAAGAUGAAAAUUAUGUAGGUUGUAGCAUGAUGUAUGUAUUUGGUAAGCUCAUGCCAUGGUGAGUCUUGCAAGUGUUGUUAGCUGAUGUACAAUAUGUCUGCUCAUGUAUUGUUGCUAUGUUUGCCAUGAAUGUGCAUGUUAUGCCUUAAUAUGCAUUACUUGGUUUAAUGUUUGGAUGUCUGCCCCAAGUUUAGGUUCACUUGCAUUGCAUGCUUGUAUUGGAUUCAUGGAUGCAUGUAUUGAUUAUAAUGAGUGCAUGGCUGCUGGUUUCUGGCAUUGUACAUGAUGGAAAGGCAAAGCUUGGCAUGAGCAACAAAGCCUGACAAAGUUCAAGGAAAGACAAAUCAAAUGGAUGCAAAAUCAGAUUUCUUGCUCAUGAAGAAACAUAAUGAUGGAAACUCAAGAAAUGAUGCAAGAAUGAGAAUGUAAUUAGUAUUAGGGUUUUAAGGAUGGAAAAAUGUGAUAAUUGACUUUGGUUAACUGGUUGACCAAAAGUCAACUUUUGAUAAAAAAUGAUUUUUUUUUAUAUUUUGUAAUGGACAAUGUACAUGCUAAUGAAUGAAUGAAAACACCUUUAUUUAA
Lathyrus oleraceus (garden pea) is the source of this 1261-nucleotide long non-coding RNA. RefSeq lists it as uncharacterized. The transcript is spliced from 2 exons. The record is from RefSeq and is a predicted model, not a curated record. Lineage: Eukaryota; Viridiplantae; Streptophyta; Magnoliopsida; Fabales; Fabaceae.